CCCUUAGAUGUUCUGGGCCGCACGCGCGCUACACUGACGGAUUCAACGAGCUUAUAACCUUGGCCGAAAGGUCUGGGUAAUCUCCAAAAUCCGUCGUGAUGGGGAUAGAUUAUUGCAAUUAUUAAUCUUCAACGAGGAAUGCCUAGUAAGCGUAAGUCAUCAGCUUGCGUUGAUUACGUCCCUGCCCUUUGUACACACCGCCCGUCGCUCCUACCGAUUGAAUGGUCCGGUGAAGCGUUUGGACUAUGGUUUUCUGAUGGUCCGCCGUUGGAUUACCGUGGGAAGUUCGUUAAACCUUAUCAUUUAGAGGAAGGAGAAGUCGUAACA
This 327-nucleotide ribosomal RNA is filed under the name uncultured eukaryote. Its description in RNAcentral is "partial 18S ribosomal RNA". It matches the Rfam family "Eukaryotic small subunit ribosomal RNA", at positions 1470 to 1796 of the family's 1831-position model. The record is from RNAcentral.